GAUCCUGACUCAGGAUGAACGCUAGCUACAGGCUUAACACAUGCAGGUCGAGGGGCAGCAUCAUCAAAGCUUGCUUUGAUGGAUGGCGACCGGCGCACGGGUGAGUAACACGUAUCCAACCUGCCGACAACACUGGGAUAGCCUUUCGAAAGAAAGAUUAAUACCGGAUGGCAUAAUUAUUCCGCAUGGGAUAAUUAUUAAAGAAUUUCGGUUGUCGAUGGGGAUGCGUUCCA
Molecule: ribosomal RNA, 233 nt
Filed under: uncultured bacterium
Lineage: Bacteria
Description: partial 16S ribosomal RNA
Rfam family: Bacterial small subunit ribosomal RNA
Source: RNAcentral